CGUGUAGGCGGUUUCAUAAGUCGUGCGUGAAAGCUCCCUGGCUCAACCGGGAGAGGUCGUGCGAUACUGCGAAACUUGAGUCAGACAGAGGCAAGUAGAAUUCCGGGUGUAGUGGUGAAAUGCGUAGAUAUCCGGAGGAAUACCAGUGGCGAAGGCGACUUGCUGGGUCUGUACUGACGCUCAGACGCGAAAGCAUGGGGAGCGAACGGGAUUAGAAACCCCGGUAGUCCAUGCUGUAAACGAUGUCAACUAGGCGUUGGGGGCUAGAUGCCCUCAGUGCCGAAGCCAACGCGAUAAGUUGACCGCCUGGGGACUACGGCCGCAAGGCUAAA
RNAcentral lists this ribosomal RNA (332 nucleotides) under uncultured bacterium. Its description in RNAcentral is "bacterial SSU rRNA". It matches the Rfam family "Bacterial small subunit ribosomal RNA", at positions 568 to 898 of the family's 1533-position model. The record is from RNAcentral.